AAGCUUCAGAAAGAGAUGUGGCAUUAAGGAGAAGGGCGAAGAGCUUCUGAAACAUUGUGCUGAAAUCAAUACCUGCUUCUCUCGGCCCAACGUGCAUUAGAGAUCCCUUGGCCAGGACAGAGGCAUUACUGAGGCAAGCUGGACAUCAGUGCACACAGACACUUGCCCUCUGAGACCAGCAUGAUUCCACAUGACGGGAGUCUUAUGCGAAAGGAGGUGCAACACUGACCUCUGGUGGUUAAAAGUCAACACAGCAACUGCUUUGAAAUCUCAACGAGUCAAUCAAUAUUCACAACUAAAAACUACAAAAAAACUCAAUUCUUGGCACUAUG
Molecule: long non-coding RNA, 332 nt
Organism: Alosa sapidissima (American shad)
Lineage: Eukaryota; Metazoa; Chordata; Actinopteri; Clupeiformes; Clupeidae
Exons: 3
Source: RefSeq, a predicted model, not a curated record